ACGGGUGAGUAACACGUGGAUAAUCUUCCCUCGAGCGGGGGAUAACAUUCCGAAAGGAGUGCUAAUACCGCAUAAGACCACGCCUCCGAAAGAAGGCGAGGUAAAAGCCGGCCUCUAUACAUAAGCUGGCACUUGAGGAUGAGUCCGCGGCCCAUCAGCUAGUUGGCAGGGUAACGGCCUACCAAGGCGAAGACGGGUAGCUGGUCUGAGAGGAUGAUCAGCCACACUGGAACUGACACACGGUCCAGACUCCUACGGGAGGCAGCAGUGGGGAAUCUUGCGCAAUGGACGAAAGUCUGACGCAGCGACGCCGCGUGGGUGAUGAAGGCCUUCGGGUUGUAAACUCCUGUCGAGGGGGAGGAAGGCGCAAGCUUGACCUAUCCCUGGAGGAAGCACGGGCUAAGUUCGUGCCAGCAGCCGCGG
Molecule: ribosomal RNA, 423 nt
Filed under: uncultured bacterium
Lineage: Bacteria
Description: bacterial SSU rRNA
Rfam family: Bacterial small subunit ribosomal RNA
Source: RNAcentral